This is a long non-coding RNA of Quercus robur (English oak), 742 nucleotides long. RefSeq lists it as uncharacterized. The transcript has 2 exons. NCBI's taxonomy places the organism in Eukaryota, Viridiplantae, Streptophyta, Magnoliopsida, Fagales, Fagaceae. The record is from RefSeq and is a predicted model, not a curated record.
GAGCCUGUGCUAAGUCUAAAACUAUACAUGUGAUUGUAGUUGUCUCACCUCAAAUGCUAUGAGAAAUUAAUAUACUUCACUGCCAUACCUUAUAAAGGACAGAACUUUUUAUUUCCCCUCAAUUCUUAGGAAAUAUCUAAAUGUGACUAUAUCUAAUUGAGUUUCAUCCAAAUCUAGGCAUUGACGCAUUGCAUGAACUGAACCCUUCUGUAGGCAGACUGCUUUAUUUGAAGAACUUUGGGAUGGCUUGGGAGAUUCAAUUGCACAUCUGAGACUAACAGUGUGCGUGUGUGUGAAUGUUUGACACUAAGUUGUAAAGCAGUUUCCUGUCGAGUAUAGUGAGGAUUGUGAAUUAAUACUUUCUGGCUCCAGGUUAGCUUACCUAAUAUUGGGGAUUCAACCAUGUCCUCAAUGAACACGAUGUACUCUAUUAUGGAACCUAAUCUAGCUACCUUGCUUCAAUUUAUGGCAGUUGGAUGGCGACCCCAUGAGUGGAGAUAUUGGACGAGGUGCCACAAGGGAAUCAAUUGCCUUCGCUGUUUGAUUGGCUGCUGUGAAAGACAGGCCUCCUGGUUUGUAUCUGGAUUCCUAUGUUCAUAGAGAAUGUGUUAAGUUUCAAUUUUGCUUUUGGUAAGGUGUCAGUUCUAUACUCCUUCCAAAUGGUAGGUUUUCUUCAAUUGGAAGGUGGCACCAAUGCUCAAACAGUUGAAAAAAUUAAAGAAAAUGGGACUUUUUCAAACAA